UGUAAACAAAUAUCUAUCUAUAUAAUGUCGAGAUAUGGUGGCAGUUUCUACACGUGAACCGUAAAUUACGUACUAUAGAUUAAAGG
RNAcentral lists this non-coding RNA (86 nucleotides) under uncultured Lactobacillus sp. RNAcentral describes it as "Purine riboswitch". It matches the Rfam family "Purine riboswitch aptamer", at positions 6 to 93 of the family's 102-position model. Rfam says of the family: Riboswitches are metabolite binding domains within certain messenger RNAs that serve as precision sensors for their corresponding targets. Allosteric rearrangement of mRNA structure is mediated by ligand binding, and this results in modulation of gene expression. Lineage: Bacteria; Bacillati; Bacillota; Bacilli; Lactobacillales; Lactobacillaceae. The record is from RNAcentral.